RNAcentral lists this ribosomal RNA (382 nucleotides) under uncultured eukaryote. RNAcentral's name for it is "partial 18S ribosomal RNA". It matches the Rfam family "Eukaryotic small subunit ribosomal RNA", at positions 592 to 976 of the family's 1831-position model. The record is from RNAcentral.
UGUAAGCGUAUACCAAAGUUGUUGCAGUUAAAACGCUCGUAGUCGGAAUUUGGCAGUUCCGGAUGUGUGCACGUCGUGUGCGCACUUCGCGGGGAUUGCUUUUGUGGUCUUGCGUAGGAUGAGGCACUUUUAUUAGUGAACGUCCUCACGCAACCACUUUUUACUGUGAGAAAAUCAGAGUGCUCAAAGCAGGCUUUUGCCGUGAAUGUAUUAGCAUGGAAUAAUAGAAUAGGACUUGGUUCUAUUUUGUUGGUUUGUUGGGACUGAGUAAUGAUUAAGAGGGACAGUUGGGGGCAUUUGUAUUUCGGUGCUAGAGGUGAAAUUCUUAGAUUACCGAAAGACAAACUGCUGCGAAAGCGUCUGCCAAGGAUGUUUUCAUUGA